This is a long non-coding RNA of Micropterus dolomieu (smallmouth bass), 715 nucleotides long. RefSeq lists it as uncharacterized. The transcript has 3 exons. Lineage: Eukaryota; Metazoa; Chordata; Actinopteri; Centrarchiformes; Centrarchidae. The record is from RefSeq and is a predicted model, not a curated record.
UCCAGCGUCAGGAGAUUGACUUUGGUAACUUGAACAAGUGAUACACUGUUACUUUGAGUUGCUGGAAAUGCUGGAUGGUUGUUGUGCUUUCGGGAUGCACUACGUGAGGAGGAGACAAGCCUGGGCUGUAUUACUAGCAUGGACCUGACAGAGUACGCAAAACAUGCCUCGGUGGUUUUUGUCCGAGAAAAGGGAAACUCGCAGAGGCGGCCUGCUGACUAUUAUGCUCAAACCGGGUGUAAUGAGCUUUAUGUUACCUCUGACAGAAGUACAGUCAUUGAAAAAGGAAGACAGGGUUUUUGGAUUAAAGAGCAGCAGACCACAAUCCACCAGCCAGAUCAACCGGACCAGGCACCACGGCGGUGCGGUGAUCGCUCAGAGGAGAGGAAAGAGAGCCGGGAUAGGAGUCAUGUUGGCCCAGCUUUGACUUAAGGCUGAUCCUGGACAAAUUGGGACUCAUGUUGGCCAAGCAACAGAAAUCAAAGACUGUUGUGCCCACAUCAUUACAGAGACCUGCCCCAUUGACGUCCCAGAUCAAGCAACUGCCGGGGGUCAGUGUACUGAGCGCAAGACUCUGGCAAGAUGAGAGGAGGCGGACUCUGUGUUGAAGCAGUCAAAAUGGACUGUUUCCCAAAUGUCAGACUUUUUAAUGUGAAGAUGAAACCAGAUUAUGAUCUUGUUGUUGUCGUUUAAAUUCUCCCCAGAUACAAAUUUU